This 1184-nucleotide ribosomal RNA is filed under the name Salmonella enterica. RNAcentral describes it as "partial 23S ribosomal RNA". It matches the Rfam family "Bacterial large subunit ribosomal RNA", at positions 1 to 1230 of the family's 2925-position model. Lineage: Bacteria; Pseudomonadati; Pseudomonadota; Gammaproteobacteria; Enterobacterales; Enterobacteriaceae. The record is from RNAcentral. RNAcentral also lists the same sequence under 1 other name.
UAAGCGACUAAGCGUACACGGUGGAUGCCCUGGCAGUCAGAGGCGAUGAAGGGCGUGCUAAUCUGCGAUAAGCGCCGGUAAGGUGAUAUGAACCGUUAUAACCGGCGAUACCCGAAUGGGGAAACCCAGUGUGACUCGUCACACUAUCAUUAACUGAAUCCAUAGGUUAAUGAGGCGAACCGGGGGAACUGAAACAUCUAAGUACCCCGAGGAAAAGAAAUCAACCGAGAUUCCCCCAGUAGCGGCGAGCGAACGGGGAGGAGCCCAGAGCCUGAAUCAGCAUGUGUGUUAGUGGAAGCGUCUGGAAAGGCGCGCGAUACAGGGUGACAGCCCCGUACACAAAAGCGCAUGUGCUGUGAGCUCGAUGAGUAGGGCGGGACACGUGGUAUCCUGUCUGAAUAUGGGGGGACCAUCCUCCAAGGCUAAAUACUCCUGACUGACCGAUAGUGAACCAGUACCGUGAGGGAAAGGCGAAAAGAACCCCGGCGAGGGGAGUGAAAAAGAACCUGAAACCGUGUACGUACAAGCAGUGGGAGCACCCUUUGGGUGUGACUGCGUACCUUUUGUAUAAUGGGUCAGCGACUUAUAUUCUGUAGCAAGGUUAACCGAAUAGGGGAGCCGGAGGGAAACCGAGUCUUAACCGGGCGUUAAGUUGCAGGGUAUAGACCCGAAACCCGGUGAUCUAGCCAUGGGCAGGUUGAAGGUUGGGUAACACUAACUGGAGGACCGAACCGACUAAUGUUGAAAAAUUAGCGGAUGACCUGUGGCUGGGGGUGAAAGGCCAAUCAAACCGGGAGAUAGCUGGUUCUCCCCGAAAGCUAUUUAGGUAGCGCCUCGUGAAUUCAUCUCCGGGGGUAGAGCACUGUUUCGGCUAGGGGGCCAUCCCGGCUUACCAACCCGAUGCAAACUGCGAAUACCGGAGAAUGUUAUCACGGGAGACACACGGCGGGUGCUAACGUCCGUCGUGAAGAGGGAAACAACCCAGACCGCCAGCUAAGGUCCCAAAGUCAUGGUUAAGUGGGAAACGAUGUGGGAAGGCCCAGACAGCCAGGAUGUUGGCUUAGAAGCAGCCAUCAUUUAAAGAAAGCGUAAUAGCUCACUGGUCGAGUCGGCCUGCGCGGAAGAUGUAACGGGGCUAAACCAUGCACCGAAGCUGCGGCAGCGACACUGUGUGUUGUUGGGUA